UAGUAUAUAUACAUAGUACGGUGAUCAUAUUUCUCUUUUCAUUCCUUCAUCUGCUUGAAAUUAGCCGAUGUAAUAUGUUCCCAUAACAUAAACCCUUAACACUGAGGAAAGACCAAAAUUAAUUUUGUGCGUAUGCCGUGUAAUUUACAUUCCUAAAAGAACAAAACAAGUAUAAAAAUAUAUGAAAGGAACAUAACGACAAGUAUAGAAAGACAAUGCUCAUAAAAUAUAGAUUUCAAACCACCUUUUGCCGAGUCAAACAUAAUAUGGAAAAUAAAUACCAGUUAAGAUUCUAGAAUUCUCCCAGAUGACUCAUGUAUAUUCACCACUGAACGACAUCCUCCACCCAUCUGAUUUGCAACAUGAUAAAGAUGGACACAACAACAUAGAGUUCCAAAAGUAGCUUUGUUUCCAAAAGUACUAUCCUAUUCAAUCUUAUGCUCAUAUAGAGAGAGAAGAUUGGAUUUGGAAUCCACUGAAACAUCUUCCGUAAGUAAGAUCUUCAAAUGGCUUUCUAGAAUUGGCCACACUAUCGAGCAAGAAGAAGUGGACCUACAUAGGCGAAUUAAAAUGCAGACUGAGAUGGACUGAUAUAACAAUCCGAUCGAUAUAAACGGAAAACUCAGCAAAGGAUAUGACACCUAUUUUAGCCCCUGGAGAAAAUAGCAAGUAAACUUCCCAUGAUAAAAAUAUAUUAAUGUUUUCAGCAUAUCCUAGAGUUCGGCCACAUUUCAAAUAGUACACUAAAUCUAACUUUUAUAUGCAAGUUUACCUGCUGUGAACAAUUCUAACACCGAAUAUCUAAAUCGAUUGGUGUGUGUGCUGCCACAAACGGGUAAACGAAAAACAGUGGCAUGCCAUACCCCCCCCCCCCCAAUAAAUAUUUGGCCCUGAAAUAAAAUGGUAAAGUAACUGCAAAGCCGUCAAUUAAUAUCAUCUUAAUUAUAUUCAUUAUUUAAAUUUGUAUAAAGUUAGUAUUGUGAAUAUACUAGCCCGUGCGAAUGCACGGGUUGACGACUAGUAAAUAUAAAAUCUGUAGAAUCUUUGAUAUGGACGUCCUAUAGACUUUAAACAUCAUCAACCAGUUCUUUCGUGAAAAACAAGAGCUUGGGAAAUCCGGAGUCACACUUUCACUCCUUUUUUGUUUGAUCGCUCACUCCAUCAUGGAUCGACCUCUUUAAUUAAGACAUACCAGGGACUUGAGACGCGGGAGAGAUCCCUCUUGGAUUUCCAUCUCAGUUAUCACUUUUACCAUGAUGCAUAGGGAAGUUGAGUUGCGAUCGGCUUCAGGAGCUCCUUCCGAAGCGCCAUGACCAUAACAGCUACCCUAGUUAGCAGCAAUGGCUGGAU
Molecule: long non-coding RNA, 1350 nt
Filed under: Hordeum vulgare
Lineage: Eukaryota; Viridiplantae; Streptophyta; Magnoliopsida; Poales; Poaceae
Description: long non-coding RNA (HVUL_LNC017195)
Source: RNAcentral